This 402-nucleotide ribosomal RNA is filed under the name uncultured Clostridium sp. RNAcentral's name for it is "bacterial SSU rRNA". It matches the Rfam family "Bacterial small subunit ribosomal RNA", at positions 355 to 774 of the family's 1533-position model. Lineage: Bacteria; Bacillati; Bacillota; Clostridia; Eubacteriales; Clostridiaceae. The record is from RNAcentral.
UGGGGAAUAUUGCACAAUGGGCGAAAGCCUGAUGCAGCAACGCCGCGUGAGUGAUGAAGGCCUUCGGGUCGUAAAGCUCUGUCUUCGGGGACGAUAAUGACGGUACCCGAGGAGGAAGCCACGGCUAACUACGUGCCAGCAGCCGCGGUAAUACGUAGGUGGCAAGCGUUGUCCGGAUUUACUGGGCGUAAAGGGAGCGUAGGCGGAUACUUAAGUGGGAUGUGAAAUACCCGGGCUCAACCCGGGUGCUGCAUUCCAAACUGGGUAUCUAGAGUGUGGGAGAGGAAAGUGGAAUUCCUAGUGUAGCGGUGAAAUGCGUAGAGAUUAGGAAGAACACCAGUGGCGAAGGCGACUUUCUGGACCAUAACUGACGCUGAGGCUCGAAAGCGUGGGGAGCAAACA